UACGUAGGGGGCAAGCGUUGUCCGGAAUCAUUGGGCGUAAAGCGCGCGUAGGCGGCCCGGUAAGUCCGCUGUAAAAGUCCAGGGCUCAACCCUGGAAAGCCGGUGGAUACUGUGGGACUAGAGUACGGAAGAGGCGAGUGGAAUUCCUGGUGUAGCGGUGGAAUGCGCAGAUAUCAGGAGGAACACCAAUAGCGAAGGCAGCUCGCUGGGACGUUACUGACACUGAGGCGCGAAAGCGUGGGGAGCGAACAGG
Molecule: ribosomal RNA, 253 nt
Filed under: uncultured bacterium
Lineage: Bacteria
Description: partial 16S ribosomal RNA
Rfam family: Bacterial small subunit ribosomal RNA
Source: RNAcentral